AACGAACGCUGGCGGCGCGCCUAAUACAUGCAAGUCGAGCGAGAAGACGUAGCAAUACGUUUGUAAAGCGGCGAACGGGUGAGGAAUACAUGGGUAACCUACCCUCGAGUGGGGAAUAACUAGCCGAAAGGUUAGCUAAUACCGCGUACGCUCCUUGGACUUCGGUUCAGGGAGGAAAGCGAUACCGUGGUAUCGCGCUCUUGGAUGGGCUCAUGUCCUAUCAGCUUGUUGGGAGGUAACGGCUCACCAAGGCUUCGACGGGUAGCUGGUCUGAGAGGACGAUCAGCCACACUGGCACUGCGACACGGGCCAGACCUCCUACGGGAGGCAGCAGUAAGGAAUAUUGCGCAAUGGGCGAAAGCCUGACGCAGCGACGCCGCGGU
Molecule: ribosomal RNA, 383 nt
Filed under: uncultured bacterium
Lineage: Bacteria
Description: bacterial SSU rRNA
Rfam family: Bacterial small subunit ribosomal RNA
Source: RNAcentral